UGGGGGAUAUUGCACAAUGGGCGAAAGCCUGAUGCAGCGACGCCGCGUGGGGGAUGAAGGCUUUCGUGUUGUAAACCUCUUUCGCUAUCGAACAAGGCCCGCUUAGGGUGGGUUGAGGGUAGGUGGAGAAGAAGCGCCGGCUAACUACGUGCCAGCAGCCGCGGUAAUACGUAGGGCGCGCGCGUUGUCCGGAAUUAUUGGGCGUAAAGGGCUUGUAGGCGGCUUGUUGCGCCUGCUGUGAAAACGCGGGGCUUAACUUCGCGCGUGCAGUGGGUACGGGCAGGCUUGAGUGUGGUAGGGGUGACUGGAAUUCCAGGUGUAGCGGUGGAAUGCGCAGAUAUCUGGAGGAACACCGAUGGCGAAGGCAGGUCACUGGGCCAUUACUGACGCUGAGGAGCGAAAGCAUGGGUAGCGAACAGG
Molecule: ribosomal RNA, 420 nt
Filed under: bacterium
Lineage: Bacteria
Description: partial 16S ribosomal RNA
Rfam family: Bacterial small subunit ribosomal RNA
Source: RNAcentral